GAACUACCAAGUAGUGUGUGGUUGCAAGUUGGUACUUUAUUUUGAUACCUUGAGUCGUAUCAACCGGUUGUGACACUUUUUUUCUGGUACAAUUAUAAAUUGUUCUUUCAGAACUGAGAAAUUUAAUGUCUGAAAAUUCAAUGGUUAUUUGAUUGUAAAAGUUGGCAUCUUGGUUCCUUUUCCAAUCAAAUAGAUUAAGCCACCAUAUUAUUUAGCCAACUAAUGGUAUAUGGAUAAUAUUUUGAACAGGCUGGAGAGUUACGUGAUAGAGAAAUGGACCUUAAGGCUCAGAUAUCUGCUCUUGUCGAUAAAGGCAAAGAGAUGAGCAAGGCAGAGACUGAAGCAGGGGAUGUUGGUCCUGUUGUGACUGAAGUGGACAUUCAACACAUUGUCUCAGCUUGGACGGGCAUUCCGGUUGAAAAAGUCUCGACUGAUGAAUCUGAUCGCCUCCUCAAGAUGGAAGAGACCCUUCACAAGAGAGUUAUUGGUCAGGACGAAGCUGUCAAAGCUAUUAGUCGUGCUAUCCGGCGUGCACGUGUUGGACUCAAAAACCCCAAUCGACCAAUUGCUAGUUUCAUCUUUUCUGGUCCAACUGGUGUCGGGAAGUCUGAACUGGCCAAAGCACUGGCUGCCUAUUACUUUGGCUCAGAGGAGGCCAUGAUCAGGCUUGAUAUGAGUGAGUUCAUGGAAAGACACACUGUUUCCAAGCUCAUUGGUUCACCACCUGGUUAUGUUGGUUACACUGAGGGUGGUCAGCUGACUGAGGCUGUUCGCCGUCGUCCUUAUACUGUUGUACUCUUUGAUGAGAUUGAAAAGGCUCAUCCUGAUGUCUUCAACAUGAUGCUUCAAAUUCUCGAGGAUGGAAGAUUGACAGACAGCAAGGGAAGAACUGUAGACUUCAAGAAUACUCUUCUAAUAAUGACAUCAAAUGUUGGAAGCAGUGUAAUUGAGAAGGGAGGACGCCGCAUUGGUUUUGAUCUUGAUUAUGAUGAGAAAGACAGCAGUUACAACAGGAUUAAGAGUCUGGUAACUGAGGAAUUGAAGCAGUACUUCAGGCCGGAGUUCUUGAAUAGAUUGGAUGAGAUGAUUGUUUUCCGACAACUCACCAAGCUGGAGGUUAAAGAGAUUGCUGAUAUAAUGCUGAAGGAGGUGUUUGAUAGACUCAAGACAAAAGAUAUUGAGCUUCAAGUGACAGAGAGAUUUAGGGAGAGGGUGGUUGAGGAAGGUUAUAACCCAAGCUAUGGAGCAAGGCCAUUGAGAAGAGCCAUUAUGAGACUUUUGGAAGACAGCAUGGCUGAGAAGAUGCUUGCAAGAGAGAUCAAAGAGGGUGAUUCGGUCAUUGUUGAUGUCGAUUCUGAUGGGAACGUGACUGUGCUCAACGGCAGCAGCGGUGCUCCAGAAUCAUUGGCAGAUCCACUACCUGUUGUGUAAACUGAUCAUCUAUUUUGAGAUGUUGUUUGUACUUCCAUUUUGAUUUCAACUGGCUAGAUACUCAGUCUGUUUUCUUGGAAGGACUACUUGGCAGUAGAUUUGGAAGCUGUUGAUUAAAUCGGU
RNAcentral lists this long non-coding RNA (1554 nucleotides) under Citrus sinensis (sweet orange). RNAcentral describes it as "long non-coding RNA (CSIN_LNC003049)". The record is from RNAcentral. Lineage: Eukaryota; Viridiplantae; Streptophyta; Magnoliopsida; Sapindales; Rutaceae.